GACGGGCGAAGCCGACCGCCCCCCGCGUGAGCGAAGAAGGCCUCCGGGUUGUAAAGCUCUUUCGCAAGGGAAGAAACGAUGCAGUCGAAUAAACUGUGUUAAUGACGGUACCUUGAUAAGAAGCACCGGCUAACUACGUGCAGCAGCCGCGGUAAUACGUAGGGUGCAAGCGUUAAUCGGAAUUACUGGGCGUAAAGCGUGCGCAGGCGGUUUUGUAAGUCAGAUGUGAAAUCCCCGAGCUCAACUUGGGAACUGCGUUUGAAACUACAAGACUAGAAUAUGUCAGAGGGGGGUAGAAUUCCACGUGUAGCAGUGGAGGGGGGGGGGAGAUGUGGAGGAAUACCAAUGGCGAAGGCAGCCCCCUGGGAUAAUAUUGACGCUCAUGCACGAAAG
This 393-nucleotide ribosomal RNA is filed under the name uncultured bacterium. Its description in RNAcentral is "partial 16S ribosomal RNA". It matches the Rfam family "Bacterial small subunit ribosomal RNA", at positions 370 to 759 of the family's 1533-position model. The record is from RNAcentral.